RNAcentral lists this ribosomal RNA (869 nucleotides) under uncultured eukaryote. RNAcentral describes it as "partial 18S ribosomal RNA". The record is from RNAcentral.
GCAAGUCUGGUGCCAGCAGCCGUAGAGAAAAACGAAACAGCUGUGGUUGCUGAGGCUUCCCCGGCGGAGCAGCAACCAUUAGCAAAAGCAACAGAAGUGACGGAGAAAGUGGCCACUGAGCAAGUAGUGGCAGAGCCCGUAAUUGAGCCGCCUAGAUUUGGAGCAGCCUAUUUAAAUAACCCUGCACCUGCUUAUCCCAUUCAAGCAAGACGCAUGGGUGAGCAAGGUAAAGUGCUGCUUAAAGUGUUAGUGUCUCAAGACGGCAAGGCUGAAACAGUUAAAGUGGAUACAAGUAGCGGCCAUCAUAAAUUGGAUCAGGCAGCGAUUGAAGCUGUUAAAAAAUGGAGCUUUGUACCGGCAAAGCGUAGUAACCAGCCAAUUAGUGCUUAUGUAUUGGUACCUGUAAAUUUCACAUUGAAUGGAUAAAUAGUAAAUCUAAUGAAUAUGCAGUUAAUGCAUGGACUAGUCGAUAAAUUAAGAGUGAACAGAUUAAGAAUCAAGCGAGGGUAAUGAUGCAAAACGGGUAUGAGUUUAAUAGUUGGGAAUUUAUCACGGCGGGUGGGCCAGUUUCUAUGUUGGUUGCCUUGAUCUUAUUAGCAAUGUCGGUGGCGAGUUGGUAUUUAAUCGUGACAAGAAGCGUUAGUGCAUGGCGUAUGCGUCGUGCUUAUCAGAUAUUUUUACAGGCAUUUUGGCAAGCGCCAAGUGUGGCCGUGGCAAUUAAGCAAAGCCAGACUUAUGCUAAUACAGGGAUGGGGAGAUUGGCAGAAAAAGCGAUACUGGCUGCUGGCACCAGACUGCAGGGCGAAUUCGUUUAAGCGUGCAGACUAGUCCUUUAGGGGGUAUUCUGGCUGGGGGAUCGGCAUAGCUGU